CGCCGUAUUUGUGGUUUUAGCUCCAUAAAUGGCUCUUCCGGUGUAACUGGAGCCAUUUUGGUAUCCUAUUUUUGGUAAAACAACUCCUUAUGCAUAAAAAAAAUAAAUAUUGAAAAGACAAAAAAUCCUUCCUUUUCUCAUCAUUUUCUUCUCUUCCCUUGUCUACCAAAUGAACGCGAUGAAUCUCAGGAACCACGUCCGCCGCUCCCUCGACCCACCGGCACCGGCCACCCGCCACGCACCCUAGCCGUCGUGUGCCCGCACGAGUUCUCUUCUUCGCACACAUUUCUUUCUCGAUGGGGUAGAGUGCUACGACGCUUUCAUCUACUACUAGUAAUUUUGGCACGCCCCUGCGCAC
This 358-nucleotide long non-coding RNA is filed under the name Sorghum bicolor (sorghum). RNAcentral's name for it is "long non-coding RNA (SBIC_LNC013613)". Lineage: Eukaryota; Viridiplantae; Streptophyta; Magnoliopsida; Poales; Poaceae. The record is from RNAcentral.